CAGCUAUACAUGCAGUCGAGCGAACAGAUAAGGAGCUUGCUCCUUUGACGUUAGCGGCGGACGGGUGAGUAACACGUGGGUAACCUACCUAUAAGACUGGGAUAACUUCGGGAAACCGGAGCUAAUACCGGAUAACAUUUGGAACCGCAUGGUUCUAAAGUGAAAGAUGGUUUUGCUAUCACUUAUAGAUGGACCCGCGCCGUAUUAGCUAGUUGGUAAGGUAACGGCUUACCAAGGCGACGAUACGUAGCCGACCUGAGAGGGUGAUCGGCCACACUGGAACUGAGACACGGUCCAGACUCCUACGGGAGGCAGCAGUAGGGAAUCUUCCGCAAUGGGCGAAAGCCUGACGGAGCAACGCCGCGUGAGUGAUGAAGGGUUUCGGCUCGUAAAACUCUGUUAUUAGGGAAGAACAAACGUGUAAGUAACUGUGCACGUCUUGACGGUACCUAAUCAGAAAGCCACGGCUAACUACGUGCCAGCAGCCGCGGUAAUACGUAGGUGGCAAGCGUUAUCCGGAAUUAUUGGGCGUAAAGCGCGCGUAGGCGGUUUCUUAAGUCUGAUGUGAAAGCCCACGGCUCAACCGUGGAGGGUCAUUGGAAACUGGGAAACUUGAGUGCAGAAGAGGAAAGUGGAAUUCCAUGUGUAGCGGUGAAAUGCGCAGAGAUAUGGAGGAACACCAGUGGCGAAGGCGACUUUCUGGUCUGUAACUGACGCUGAUGUGCGAAAGCGUGGGGAUCAAACAGGAUUAGAUACCCUGGUAGUCCACGCCGUAAACGAUGAGUGCUAAGUGUUAGGGGGUUUCCGCCCCUUAGUGCUGCAGCUAACGCAUUAAGCACUCCGCCUGGGGAGUACGACCGCAAGGUUGAAACUCAAAGGAAUUGACGGGGACCCGCACAAGCGGUGGAGCAUGUGGUUUAAUUCGAAGCAACGCGAAGAACCUUACCAAAUCUUGACAUCCUUUGAAAACUCUAGAGAUAGAGCCUUCCCCUUCGGGGGACAAAGUGACAGGUGGUGCAUGGUUGUCGUCAGCUCGUGUCGUGAGAUGUUGGGUUAAGUCCCGCAACGAGCGCAACCCUUAAGCUUAGUUGCCAUCAUUAAGUUGGGCACUCUAGGUUGACUGCCGGUGACAAACCGGAGGAAGGUGGGGAUGACGUCAAAUCAUCAUGCCCCUUAUGAUUUGGGCUACACACGUGCUACAAUGGACAAUACAAAGGGCAGCUAAACCGCGAGGUCAUGCAAAUCCCAUAAAGUUGUUCUCAGUUCGGAUUGUAGUCUGCAACUCGACUACAUGAAGCUGGAAUCGCUAGUAAUCGUAGAUCAGCAUGCUACGGUGAAUACGUUCCCGGGUCUUGUACACACCGCCCGUCACACCACGAGAGUUUGUAACACCCGAAGCCGGUGGAGUAACCAUUUAUGGAGCUAGCCGUCGAAGGUGGGACCCA
Molecule: ribosomal RNA, 1445 nt
Filed under: Staphylococcus saprophyticus
Lineage: Bacteria; Bacillati; Bacillota; Bacilli; Caryophanales; Staphylococcaceae
Description: bacterial SSU rRNA
Rfam family: Bacterial small subunit ribosomal RNA
Source: RNAcentral